UACGUAGGGUGCGAGCGUUGUCCGGAAUUACUGGGCGUAAAGAGCUCGUAGGUGGUUUGUCGCGUUGUUCGUGAAAACCGGGGGCUUAACCCUCGGCGUGCGGGCGAUACGGGCAGACUUGAGUACUGCAGGGGAGACUGGAAUUCCUGGUGUAGCGGUGGAAUGCGCAGAUAUCAGGAGGAACACCGGUGGCGAAGGCGGGUCUCUGGGCCACUACUGACGCUGAGAAGCGAAAGCAUGGGGAGCGAACAGG
Molecule: ribosomal RNA, 253 nt
Filed under: uncultured bacterium
Lineage: Bacteria
Description: partial 16S ribosomal RNA
Rfam family: Bacterial small subunit ribosomal RNA
Source: RNAcentral